Long non-coding RNA from Papio anubis (olive baboon), 1742 nucleotides. The record is from Ensembl. Lineage: Eukaryota; Metazoa; Chordata; Mammalia; Primates; Cercopithecidae.
GCCUCCAUACCAUGUUUGGCAUCAUUCAAAGCUGUGGAGAUGAAUCUCUGAAGGGCUUCCAGCUUCUACAUGAUAUCAGAAGAACCUACUGGAGGCACAAAUAUAGUCAAUAAGUAAUCCCACCAAGAAAAAACAGACCUACUCCACUGACUUCUCCAGAUGGACUCAUUGAGGGAUACAGGAAUGGUGUCAGAGAUUCUGGAGUCAUCCAAGCCACCCCAGGGGAAGCCUGGGCUGCAGUUGCAUCUUAGAGCUAUUCAGCAGCCCUGGGAUUUACCCAAUACUAUUAUUCACACCAUCGAAUCUGAAACUUUCCCAAUAGAACUCAAAUAAUCAUCCCCUCACUUCUGGAUGGCAUUUUGCUGCAGGUGGUGUGAACAAGAGAGAUGUAGCAUGUGCCCCGCCCAACCCUUGGGGUUCUUGUGGCAUCGUCAAGUUUUCAGGCACCACCACAUUCCCCUCAUCCAGGCGCCAGUGCCUGCAGUGGAAGCUGCUUGCCGUACACCUGGUCCAGCCACAGCCUUGCAUGGGGUCGGCACCAGGAGCUGCCUAUUCCGCCACAGCAGUUGGUGCGCCUGGUUAUGUUCAGUGGCCAGACCCCACACUCACUCACACAACCCUCACUACUCUGUGCCUGGCUCACUCUCGGCGGGCAUGGGAUCUGGGCCGGUAGUGCAAACAGAGUGCAGCCUGCUGAGCCAAGUGGGCAAAAUGAGCCCAGUGGGCACGAGCUAAACUCAAGCAGAGGCGCAGAUGGCCACAGAGGUUUCUGGCUGGCGAAGUGACACCUGAAGGAUCCUGUGACAUUAUUGACUCACUUCUAACAAUUAGAAUAAAGCAGAAGUGUUGUGAUGUCACUUCCAAGAUGUUAGGUUAUAAAAAGACUGGCUUUCACGUUGCAUGCACUCACUCUCACUCGUUCUGAUGGAUUACUCAUGGUGGAGAAAGAUAGCUUCCACGUCAUGGAGCAGCUGUAUGAAUAGGCCUAAAUGAGUAACCCUGCAAGUAGGUCUUCUGAGACCAGCCAACUAUCAGUGGGUGAGAUUGGAAACCCCAUUAAGACCUAAGAUGCCUGUAGCUCCAGCCAACACUUUGUAUCCUUGUGUGAGACCAACCCUGAGCCAGAGGACCCCACUAAGCUGUGCCUCAAUUCCUAACCUAAAAGAAACUGUGAAGUAAUAAAUGUUUGUUGUUUUAAGCUGGUAAGUUUUGGAGUGAUUUGUUAUGCAGCAAUAGAUAACUACCUUACCAUACUGUCAGGGGAAAUUGACCCUGAUCAGCAGGAGGAAGCAGGGCUCAUUUUAGACAAGGGGCCACAGAAGAAUUCAUGUGGAGUACAGGAGAUCCACUUGGCUACCUCCUGUGUUCCAUCAUAACUAUGAAUAGACAGAUGCAGCAACUUCAGACUGAAGACAGCAUGAUUACCAAGGGUUCAGACCUUUAGAAAUGAAGGUUUGGGUCACAAUCCCAGGUUAGCAAUCAAGACCCUUCAAGAUGCUAGACGAGGGUAGGGGAGAUUGGAAUAGAUAACUAGAAGAUACCCUUGUGAAUUUCCACUCAGAAAGAGAAGUCCAUGAAUACCAUGGGAGAUCUGCUUUCCUAACAUGUUGGGAGAAAAAUAUCUGUGUGGGUCAUGGAAUGGAUUACAGUGAUCAGGAAAUUGAUGUACUAUUCUGUGUCUCAGAAGAAAUGAAUGAGACUUUCUGCCACUCUGCAUCUUUGCUAGCAAUUUGUAUUGUCGA